AGAGUUCGAUUCUGGCUCAGGAUGAACGCUGGCGGCGUGCCUAACACAUGCAAGUCGAGCGAUUCUCUUCGGAGAAGAGCGGCGGACGGGUGAGUAACGCGUGGGUAACCUGCCCUGUACACACGGAUAACAUACCGAAAGGUAUGCUAAUACGGGAUAACAUAAGAAAUUCGCAUGUUUUUCUUAUCAAAGCUCCGGCGGUACAGGAUGGACCCGCGUCUGAUUAGCUAGUUGGUGAGGUAACGGCUCACCAAGGCGACGAUCAGUAGCCGACCUGAGAGGGUGAUCGGCCACAUUGGAACUGAGACACGGUCCAA
This 317-nucleotide ribosomal RNA is filed under the name uncultured bacterium. RNAcentral's name for it is "bacterial SSU rRNA". It matches the Rfam family "Bacterial small subunit ribosomal RNA", at positions 8 to 334 of the family's 1533-position model. The record is from RNAcentral.